RNAcentral lists this ribosomal RNA (666 nucleotides) under Osca lata. Its description in RNAcentral is "eukaryotic LSU rRNA". It matches the Rfam family "Eukaryotic large subunit ribosomal RNA", at positions 2287 to 2791 of the family's 3401-position model. Lineage: Eukaryota; Metazoa; Arthropoda; Insecta; Diptera; Tabanidae. The record is from RNAcentral.
AUGCCUCGUCAUCUAAUUAGUGACGCGCAUGAAUGGAUUAACGAGAUUCCUACUGUCCCUAUCUACUAUCUAGCGAAACCACAGCCAAGGGAACGGGCUUGGAAUAAUUAGCGGGGAAAGAAGACCCUGUUGAGCUUGACUCUAGUCUGGCAGUGUAAGGAGACAUAAGAGGUGUAGCAUAAGUGGGAGAUAUAUUAGUUUCGGCUAAAUAUAUCAAAAAUGAAAUACCACUACUCUUAUUGUUUCCUUACUUACUUGAUAAAAUGGAACGUGUAUCAUUCACUUAGCUAUUACACGGAUAUAUUUAUAUAUUUUAUGGUAUUUUGUUUUGAUGCGAGCUUCUUGUUUAAAGUACCAAGAGUUUGUUAUAUACACCAAACAAAUAUCAAUUAAAUUUACUUUCCAUUAAUAAUGGUUUGUUAAAUAUUAUUUGAAUUUGGUAUAACUAUUAUACUCAGGUAUGAUCCAAUUCAAGGACAUUGCCAGGUGGGGAGUUUGACUGGGGCGGUACAUCUCUCAAAUAAUAACGGAGGUGUCCCAAGGCCAGCUCAGUGCGGACAGAAACCACACAUAGAGCAAAAGGGCAAAUGCUGACUUGAUCUCGGUGUUCAGUACAUACAGAGACAGCAAAAGCUCGGCCUAUCGAUCCUUUUGGUUUAAAGAGUU